This 692-nucleotide long non-coding RNA is filed under the name Homo sapiens (human). RNAcentral's name for it is "long non-coding RNA NONHSAT211056". The record is from RNAcentral. Lineage: Eukaryota; Metazoa; Chordata; Mammalia; Primates; Hominidae.
UCUCAAUCGCAUGAGAUUGCCUCUUGUUUCUACGCUGAAGCGGAAAGUAAAACACAGCUAAAUUUGAUCCCCUUUACUCUCCCAGCCAUUCAAACCACCAGCACAUUAUCAAGGUUGAAGAAGUUAGAUUUAGAUUCAGAGUCUUGGGAAUGGGCUACAGGUUGAGAAAAUUAUCUUUCCUUCCCUCUGGAGUCCUCUUCCUCAAGAAGAGACUGAAAAACAAACAGAUGUCCCUGAAUUUGGGCCCGAAGCCCCCAGUGAGAUAAACUGUUCCCAGUUGCGUGGAAUUGGCUUUUAACUCCUUAACUGGGCAGAGGGAGUAUCAAAACUUCUCUUUGAAAAGAAUUUCACUUUAUGAUCGAUUAAUGGCCAUUUAUUGAACUGCUAGGAAAGAGCUAUAUGAAAGUAAAUUGCACCAAAAUUUCUUUUUUAAUAUCCUAGUUCUAUUCUGCAAUUCUAACAGCAUCUAUACUGUGAAAAUAAAGACACCUUUAGUCUUGAAGUUAAUAAGUGAAAUUAAAUUACUUUAGCACAAGUAAAUGUUUCAAGAUAGCAACUCAAUGAAAUACCUGUUUUCUCUUCAGAAAGGUUUACCUCUCACUUUCGUAAACUAGCUGAUUUCAUUAUCUCUGAAUCUAUCUGUCACUUGUGUCGUCUUAUUCUGAAAACCGCAAAGACACUGCUUAGCAAGG